UACAGAGGGGGCAAGCGUUGUUCGGAAUUACUGGGCGUAAAGGGCGCGUAGGCGGCCCGCUAAGUCGAAACGUGAAAUCCCCCGAGCUCAACUCGGGAACUGCGUCCGAUACUGGCGGGCUUGAAUCCGGGAGAGGGAUGCGGAAUUCCAGGUGUAGCGGUGAAAUGACGCAGAUAUCAGGAGGAACACCGGUGGCGAAGGCGGGUCUCUGGGCCGAAUACUGACGCUGGAGGAGCGAAAGCGUGGGGAGCGAACAGG
RNAcentral lists this ribosomal RNA (258 nucleotides) under uncultured bacterium. RNAcentral's name for it is "partial 16S ribosomal RNA". It matches the Rfam family "Bacterial small subunit ribosomal RNA", at positions 524 to 776 of the family's 1533-position model. The record is from RNAcentral.